This 7182-nucleotide long non-coding RNA is filed under the name Solanum tuberosum (potato). RNAcentral's name for it is "long non-coding RNA (STUB_LNC009205)". The record is from RNAcentral. Lineage: Eukaryota; Viridiplantae; Streptophyta; Magnoliopsida; Solanales; Solanaceae.
CAUAGUUAUCCUUUGUCUUGCUUUGGUAGUGGUUCAUACCACAGCAGCAAGAGAAAUGCCAAGUGACAAUGGUCUUUCUGACCAAAAGAAUGUUUUUGGAGGCGCUGGAGGCAUCGCUGGCAUUGGCAGCAAUGGCUUGCCUUUUGGUGGAGUCGUUAGCGGAGUAGGUGGCAAUGUUGGUGGAUUUGGUGCUGGAAUUGGUGGUGGAGCUGGAUUUGGUGGAGGAAUUGGGGGUGGUGGACUAGGUGGAGUAGGUAGUAUUGGUGGCGAUGCUGGUGCUGGUGCAGGAAGUCUUCCACUUCCAUGAAGUUAUUCAUCACUUUCAUGUAACUAAUUUUUAUUCUCAUCUUUAUUAGUUAAGUUUGUUUCAUGCAUGUUUGAUUAUGGUCAAGAUUGCUAGCUAACUAGUGUGAGAAAAGAGUGAUUUUUUUUUUUCAUUUUUUGGUUGUUGUUGUUGUUUGGUUUUAUCCAUAUUGUAAUGUUACAUGCAUGAUUUUUUUCCGUGUUCAAUGAAAGUAAGUUGUUGCACUUUUUUAAACUUCUUUUAAAGUCAGGUGUUCAACGUUCCACGCUUCUUUUCUCUCACUUUAUUUCUUUUAUUUACAUUGAUAUGGUUGAUCCAAGCGGCUGAAUCUUUAUGUAAAAAAUUCUUAUGGUUUGGUGGAGCUGACACCACAAAUACAGUAUUAAUAAUAUAUGAAAGAAAUCAUGUAGUCUAAAAAUACCUAGUGGCUUGGGUUUCCAGCUGGACAUAACUAAAUUAUUUUUAAUACAAUAAUAUAUUUUAACAUAUAUCGUUAAUAAGAAGAAAAAAAAUCGUAAUAUAUUUCAAUUCAAUAUAUAAUAUAUAUAUUAUAGGUAUGUUUCAAUCGUAAAUAACCACUAUAAUAAACUUAAUUAUGUUCCAUAGCUAUAGUUUGCAUAUUUACGAGUUGUAGCUACAGUUUAAGUUGUCUCGUUUGUAUAAUUCACGUGUUUGUAUAAUUCGUGGGUUUGUAUAUAUAAUAUGCGGGUACGUUUGUAUAAUUGAACUAUUUUUGUAUAAACUCGAAAUAACGAAUUUAUACAAACACAUACAUCUGAACUUUAAACAGUUAUACAAACUAUAUUAUACAAAAUUACAUUAUCCAAAAGUUAUAUAAAUUAUAUUAUACAAAUUUUGAAUUAUACAAACUCGAAACUCCAACCCACGUAAUUAUCACUGAAUGUUGGUCGCGAGUAAUAAUUAACUAAAACUAUAGCUAUGAUGACUAAUUAACUAACAUAUGUUUAUUAACCAUGUAAUUUUAUAUAACUAAAAUAUUUUUAAUACAAAUGUAUUAUAUCAUUAGUGUGUAUAUAUAUAUACCCUAAUGGUAUCAAUGAGUAAAUUAUUAGUUUUUUCACUGAAUCACUCUUUGAUUCCACCAUAGUAUAUAUAUACUCUAAGGACUCGUUUGGUGUAAGGGAUAAUACCAAAUAGUCCCGGGAUUAAAUUAUAGUACCGCUUAUUUUGUUGUUUGGUUGGCAAGUUCGGGAUAACUUAUCCCGGGAUUAAUAAUUAGUACCGGGAUAAGUUAUCCCUCUCCUUGGGUGGUAUAGUAAUCCCGGGAUAACUUAUCCCGGGAUAAAAUAGGUAAAUGACAAAAAUGUCUCUUUCAACCCUUUUGUUGUAUCACUUUUUACCUUAAUGAAGGGGCAUUUUUGUAAAUAAAUAAAUUGUUCUUAAAAUUUAUUAUUUUGAAUAUAACAAACCAAACACUCAAUAAAAAAUAAUCCCCAACACAACUUAUCCCCAUCAUAACUAAUCCCAACAUAACUUAUCCCAACAUAACUUAUCCCAUCAUAACUCAUUUUCAAACCAAACGACCCCUAAUAGUAUUAAGAAGCAAUUUAGUAGUUUUUCACUGGAGUGACUUUUUCUUCAUUGAUACCAUCAGAGUGUGUAUAAUAUAUAUAUAUAUACACUCUGAUGUUAUCAAGGAGUAAAACGGUAUUUGGAUUGACUUAAAAGUUGACCAAACCUAAACCCUAAACUUUGGUCAAACCUACUUUUAAGUUAAUUUUUUACUUCUAGAAAUGUUUGGCAAAUAUAAAAAUAACUUAAAAUAAAUAAAAAACAACUGAAAAUAAGUUAGGAACUAUUUGACAAGGUUACAAAUAAUUUAAUAUAAGUUAAAGACCAGAAGUAGGUCUCUCAUACUUUUUAUUUUUUGACUUAAAAGUCAUUUAAGUUUAACUUUUUAUUUUUGACUCAAAAACUACUUUUUAAGUCAAUCCAAACAGGCUCUAACUUAGUAGUGUUAUCACUGAAGUGACUUUUUCUUUCUUGAUACCACCAGAGUGUAUAUAUAUAUAUAUACUCCACUGAUAUCAAAUAUUAAAUGACUAUUAAAGCAAAAGUUAUGUCAUAAAUGAUAAUAAAUAUAAAGUAAUAUUUAAAAGAUAAUUAAUCAAAUAAAAUAUUUAAUUUAAAUAAAAUUUUGAAAGUUAAUUAUAUUCUUAAAGGGAUAAGGCAUUAGUACCCUCUCUAGACUAUAACCGAAAUCCCAGAGACACACCUUAACUAAACUAAGGUCCUAUUAACCCCCUAAACUUAUUAUUUUAAAUAAUUUUGUACACCUUUCUGGCCUACGUGGCCUCCAAAUAUCUCUCACGCGCCUCACUUAAGUGGAGUCACGGAGUGUGCCACAUAAGCCAAAAGGUAUACAAAAUUACACAAAAAAUGAGAUUAGGGGGUAGUAGGACCUUAAAUUAAUUAAGAUGUGUCUCUGGGAUUUCGGUCAUAGUCUAGGGGGUACUUGUGCCUUAUCCCUAUUCUUAAAUGAACACCAAAAAUCUUAAUCCAAUCUUACCAAAUCAUGAAUUGGACCGGAUUGGCCCAAUGAAUCUAGCUCAUAUUAACGAUUCUAUGCAUAAUUUUCUGCGACAACCAAACCAAGCGUAAUAAUAUCAAUGAGGUGGUUGGUGUCUUAUAUAUCCAUCAAUUGAAACAUUAACUGAAUCAUAUGAUAGGCUACGAUCCAAACCAACCAGCAGCAGUGGAAUAUACAAUACUAGCAACAGUAUACAUAAAAUUCAUAUUUAUAUAUAUAGUUAUUUUUUUUAUUUUCCUACUCAAUAUUUGAUACUUAUAUUGAAAUAUAAUUAAAUUAAUACAUAUGUUUAAUAUGUUUCGCUAAAAUUUUGGCUUUGUACAUACGUAUGAAUAUGCUAGGUCGUUAGAUUUAUGAAAAAAAAUUAACUUCAGAGGAGUCUCGCUUUUGGUAGGUACCCACCAAAUAAUCAAACGUUCAGUUUGAUUUAGGGAUAGAUGUUCGGUUCUUUAGUUCGUUUUUAUUAAAUUAUGGUUCGUCUUUGAUUUUCGAUUUUAUAAAAGUGUGUAUCAAAUAUCGAAUCGAACUAAUUCGGUUUGGUUCGACUUUUAUCAACAUUAGUUUGAUUUGGUAUUUUGAAAACGGGUUUUCAGAGCGAAUAAAAAUAAUUAACUAUGUUAAGUGAUGAUGAUGUGUCUCACCAUGAAAUACUUAUUGUGCUUAAAAAAAUCAUAUUUGUCUUUCUCAAGAACAUUGUACCACCAACUAUUGCUCGAGGAAUACAAGGAUGAAGACAAAUUCCUUUACAUGUACAUCGACAAAAAUACGUUCGACCGGCUCCUCUUGGAAAUUAAUAUUCAAAGUUAACUAUCUUGAUUGUAAAUCUGUUGCUACGUACUUUGAUUUGUUCAUAAAUGGUUUAAUUGCUAAUUGAUAUAUAUAUAUAUAUAUAUAUAUAAUAUUUCUAUUUUUUUUAAAAAAAAGAUUAAUAAAAAUUUGAUUCUUCAAUGCACCGAAAUUCCAAAACUCUUAUAUCGAAUUGAAGAACUGAUUUUUUUUUUAAAAUACCAAUAUCAAACCAAAAAAUUAAAACUUCAAAUUAAUUCGAAUCGAUUAAAUUUUUCGAUAUUGAGAUCCACCGUUUGGUGUGUAGUUGGGGCAUGAUAAAUAGGAAGAGUUAUAAUUUGCAUAGGAUUCAUGUUGCACAAGAAGGGAGGAAUUAAGUGGAUGCGAUAUCUUAACUAACAGCCAGCAACUUACUGACAAAAGCAUUUACUACUAGCUUUUGAAGGUCUUUAGUUAGAGAAAGCAUUAGCUGUCAUUUUUAUUUCUUUGAUCUCUGUAGAAGAAGAAAAUGUCAUCGGAGUUCAACUGUUUCCAUCUGCCCAAUCAUAAAUUUCAAAUGUUUAAAUGCCUUUUAAAUCGUUUUUAUGGAGUUAGUUUGACAAAUCAAAAGCUCCCACUCUCUAUAAAGGACAGUAAAUGAAUUAAGGGGUCGUUUUACAUACUGUUGCGUACAUAUAGUGUUUUAGUAAUGCUGGUAUUAGUUACGUUACCUUUAUAUUAGUUAUUUUGAAAUUAUUUCUUACAUAAUGUUCUAUUGCAUAAGCAAUUAAUUUGAUGAGACGUUUGUUAAAAAAAAUUGAGGUUUAUAAGAAACAAUUUUAAUAACCUCUUUCGAUACAAGUUCUUUAAUUUUUACCCCUAUUGAUUUGUUGGAUGUGAAAAAAAUGUCAUUUUGACGUCGGAGACAUGAAAUAGAUGGUGGAAUCCUUUUGUGGAUCCGGAGGUAAAAUAAAUUGAGCCAAUUUUUGUGAUUAAUAACUGAUUUUACCAUUAUUUGUUUAAAAUUUUAUUUGGAAAAAAAUGAUGGAUGAAGAUAUGGAAUUUGAAGGAAUUGAAAAAUUGGAAAGUGAAGUUGAAGAAUAUAUUAAAGAAUUUUGAUGGAAAAGAGAAAAUGGAAAGAAAAGUAAAAAAUAAAAAAAUAAAAAAGAAAGAUGUGAGCCUAGUGGUUGAAAACAAAGAACAUUAGUUAAUUCUUUUAUCUAUCUUAACCUUGAUCGAUAAAGUUAUUCCAUAAAAUUAAUUGAUAUGUGCAAAAAUUAACCAGACACAUUAAAAAAAAAGUGGUGUGAGAUGAGGAAGUGGUUCCCACACUAUAAUGUCAGUAAUAAUUUCCUUAGACAAGUAUGAUUUGGCAUAUGCCUCACACACGUAAAAUAAAAUUAAAAAAUAGAAAUUAAUUAGUAUGAGUAAUUAACCAGACACAUUAAAAAAAAAGUGGUGUGAGAUGAGGAAGUGGUUCCCACACUAUAAUGUCAGUAAUAAUUUCCUUAGACAAGUAUGAUUUGGCAUAUGCCUCACACACGUAAAAUAAAAUUAAAAAAUAGAAAUUAAUUAGUAUGAGUAGGUUGCAGACAGAGGGUCCAUAGGCCGGUAGCUCAGUAAUAUCUAAUAGUAACCAAUUGAUCAUCUAUUUAACACAACACGUUCUUUUGGCCACCUAUACACCUUUCUGAAACAUGACUAAAAAAAUAAAUAGUUAAUGCUCAAAAGAAAGAAAACAUAUACAACCUCCCACCCUAAAUAAUUCCUUUAUAGCGUUUAAUUUGUUUCAAAGUAUUUUGGUGUUUUUAAAAAAUAUAUAUGAUAAUAUGAAGUUAUGAUGUUUUAAUUAAGUGAAAUUUUUAAGAGAGAAGCCUUAAUUAUAUUUAAAACGGUUAAAUGUGUUUCUUAAGGAAUAAGGGUGUCCAAAAGUUUAAAAGACAAAUACUCCCUCCAUCCCUAUUUAGUUGUCCACUUUAGAAAUGACACACAGAUUAAGGCAACAAUGAUUAGCAUAAUGAAGUUACAAUUUUACCCUUACAGUACAAUUUACAAUUCCAAAAUAAAUUCACUCAAGAUAACUAAUCAAUGUUGGGAAGUUCAUAAGUUUAUUUACUUUAUUUAUGAUAACUUUAUUUAAAUAAGGGUGUAAUAGGAAAAAAUUUGUUAUCCUUUCUUGAUUUGUCAAAAUUGACAACUAAAAGAGGAAAUAUGGACAAUUAAAUAGGAACGGAGGGAGUAGUAAGAACAAAGAGUGUGGUUAGAAUAGAAGAAAAUAUUUUUAAAAUAUUUCGCUAGUCAAAAUUUUAAAAAAAUAUUGUUUUAAGAAAAUAAAAUUUCUUAAAAUUAGAAAAAUAACUUUUAUGGUAGAAAUAGAAAACAAAUUUCACACAGUCCUCGAUCUCAUGCGCACGGAACCAAAUUUUUGACUAAAAGGUGUUUAAACAUAAAUAAGUAAAAUUGUGUAGAAGUCAAGUAGUGUCAAUAUGUAAUAUAUAGACAUAAAUAAAAAUAUAUUUACCUAACUACAUGACAGUGUAAUUUUUCAAUGAAUGAGGAUGUUGAUGAAUACCCCUCAAGUUUACAUGGCUCCACCAUUGCUCCCGCUAUCACCCCAAACCCAUCUAGAUAAUAAUUUAUCUAAAUUAUAUAUAUAUACUUUUGGAAUAAUGUUCUCUUCCUCUAACCAUCAAACAUAAAAAAAAAAAAAAAAAAAAAAAAAAAGAGUUAUUUUCAACAAAAUAAAUAAAGGAGGGAAAACAUAUUUUUUCAUUGGCAAACCAACCAAAGGGUUUCUCCAAAAAAUAAAUAAAGGAGAGAGACAUUGAAUGUUUCUAUUCAUUCCUCCACCAACCCAUUUUUUGCCUAUAAAAAGAGACUCAAGGAAAUACCACUUCAUCACUACUCAUCACUCAUCAGGUGUAAAGGCAUAUAUAGGAUAAAGAAAAAAAAAGAGAGAAUAGGAAGUGAUGGCAAACAAGUUGUCCAUAGUUAUCCUUUGCCUUGCUUUGGUAGUGGUACAUAUCACAGCAUCAAGAGACAUGCCAAGUGACAAUGGUCUUUCUGACCAAAAGAAUGUUUUGUAGGCGCUGGAGGUAUCGGUGGCAUUGGAAGCAAUGGACUGCCUUUUGGUGGAGUUGUUAGCGGAGUAGGUGGCAAUGUUGGUGGAUUUGGUGCUGGAAUUGGUGGUGGAGCUGGGUUUGGUGGAGGAAUUGGGGGUGGUGGACUAGGUGGAGUAGGAGGACUAGGUGGUAUAGGUGGAGUUGGUGGAGUAGGUGGUAUUGGUGGCGGUGCUGGUGGUGGUGCAGGAAGUCUUCCACUUCCAUGAAGAUUAUAUUAAUAUUAGUUCAAGUUUAAUUUGUCAUGUCAUGCAUAUUGUUUGGUUAGUAUUAUGGCUAGUGUGAGAAAAGAGUGAUUUUUUUUUUCUUUUUGUUGUUGUUGGUGUUUGGUUUCAUUCAUAGUGUUAUGUUAUGUGAUUUUUCACGUGUUUAAUGUAAUGUAAUUUGUUGCACUUCUUUCUUUUUAAGUCGGGUGUUCAAAGUUCACUGCUUUUUUUCUCUCA